GAAAGGGAAACAGCCCAGGCCCCCCGCUAAGGUUCCAAAAUAAUUUUAAGGGGAAAAGGAUAUGGGGUUGCACAACCAAUUAGGAUUUUAGUUAGAAGCAGUUUUUCAUCCAAAGAGGGGUUAAUAGCUCCCUAGUCGAGUGACCUGCGCCGAAAAUGUACCGGGGUAAAACAAUUUACCGAAGCUGUGGAUACCUUUAUAGGUAUGGUAGGAGAGCGUUCUAUGUGUGAUGAAGGUAUACCGUGAGGAGUGCUGGAACGCAUAGAAGUGAGAAUGCCGGUAUGAGUAGCGAAAGACAGGUGAGAAUCCUGUCCACCGUAAGACUAAGGUUUCCAGGGGAAGGCUCGUCCGCCCUGGGUUAGUCGGGACCUAAGGAGAGACCGAAAGGUGUAUCCGAUGGACAACAGGUUGAUAUUCCUGUACUAGAGUAUGUAGUGAUGGAGGGACGCAGUAGGCUAACUAAAGCAGACGAUUGGAAGAGUCUGUCUAAGCAGUGAGGUGUGAAUUGAGUCAAAUGCUUAAUUCUAUAACAUUGAGCUGUGAUGGGGAGCGAAGUUUAGUAGCGAAGUUAGUGACGUCACACUGCCAAGAAAAGCUUCUAGCGUUUAAACAUACUCUACCCGUACCGCAAACCGACACAGGUAGUCGAGGCGAGUAGCCUCAGGUGAGCGAGAGAACUCUCGUUAAGGAACUCGGCAAAAUGACCCCGUAACUUCGGGAGAAGGGGUGCUGACUUAAAGUCAGCCGCAGUGAAUAGGCCCAAGCAACUGUUUAUCAAAAACACAGCUCUCUGCUAAAUCGUAAGAUGAUGUAUAGGGGGUGACGCCUGCCCGGUGCUGGAAGGUUAAGAGGAGUGCUUAGCGUAAGCGAAGGUAUGAAUUGAAGCCCCAGUAAACGGCGGCCGUAACUAUAACGGUCCUAAGGUAGCGAAAUUCCUUGUCGGGUAAGUUCCGACCCGCACGAAAGGCGUAAUGAUUUGGGCACUGUCUCAACGAGAGACUCGGUGAAAUUUUAGUACCUGUGAAGAUGCAGGUUACCCGCGACAGGACGGAAAGACCCCAUGGAGCUUUACUGCAGUUUGAUAUUGAGUGUCUGUACCACAUGUACAGGAUAGGUAGGAGUCUAAGAGAUCGGGACGCCAGUUUCGAAGGAGACGCUGUUGGGAUACUACCCUUUGUUAUG
RNAcentral lists this ribosomal RNA (1182 nucleotides) under Streptococcus pneumoniae SPN021198. RNAcentral's name for it is "bacterial LSU rRNA". It matches the Rfam family "Bacterial large subunit ribosomal RNA", at positions 1013 to 2215 of the family's 2925-position model. The record is from RNAcentral. Lineage: Bacteria; Bacillati; Bacillota; Bacilli; Lactobacillales; Streptococcaceae.